This is a long non-coding RNA of Hippocampus comes (tiger tail seahorse), 155 nucleotides long. RefSeq lists it as uncharacterized. The transcript is spliced from 2 exons. The record is from RefSeq and is a predicted model, not a curated record. NCBI's taxonomy places the organism in Eukaryota, Metazoa, Chordata, Actinopteri, Syngnathiformes, Syngnathidae.
UUUUCGCCUCUUCUGUCGACGUGACUAAACGUCCAUAUUUUUUAUUUCUCCUUUCCCUCAUCUUGUCUCUGCUCCGUCUGCUGUGGACCACAGCUCAUGCCCAGACACUCACAAGCGAGCAGUUGACGCUUGCAAAAUUUGGGCUGUUCAAAAAA